Molecule: ribosomal RNA, 489 nt
Filed under: uncultured bacterium
Lineage: Bacteria
Description: partial 16S ribosomal RNA
Rfam family: Bacterial small subunit ribosomal RNA
Source: RNAcentral
AUGAACGCUAGCGGCAGGCCUAAUACAUGCAAGUCGAACGGGAUCCAGAUCAAAGCUUGCUUUGGUCUGGUGAGAGUGGCGCACGGGUGCGUAACGCGUGAGCAACCUACCCUUGUCAGGGGGAUAGCCCGGCGAAAGUCGGAUUAAUACCGCAUGACAUCAUUGAGAGGCAUCUUUCGAUGAUCAAAGAUUUAUCGGACAAGGAUGGGCUCGCGUGACAUUAGCUAGUUGGUAAGGUAACGGCUUACCAAGGCUGCGAUGUCUAGGGGCUCUGAGAGGAGAAUCCCCCACACUGGUACUGAGACACGGACCAGACUCCUACGGGAGGCAGCAGUAAGGAAUAUUGGUCAAUGGACGGAAGUCUGAACCAGCCAUGCCGCGUGCAGGAGGACGGCCCUAUGGGUUGUAAACUGCUUUUAUACGGGAACAAACGUCGGUACGUGUACCGGUCUGAGUGUACCGUAAGAAUAAGGAUCGGCUAACUCCGUG